UAUCUCUGUAGAGUCUGCAUAUCAAUAAGCGGAGGAAAAGAAACUAACUAGGAUUCCCUUAGUAACGGCGAGUGAAGCGGGAAGAGCUCAAAUUUGAAAUCUUCAAGGUUUUACCUUGACGAAUUGUAGUUUAAAGAAGUGUUUUCUGUAGGAGUUUUGGUAAAAGUUCUUUGGAAUAGGACAUCAUAGAGGGUGAGAAUCCCGUAUUUGACCAUUAUUUCCAGCUUUGUGAUACACUUUCAAAGAGUCGGAUUGUUUGGGAAUGCAGUCCGAAAUGGGUGGUAAAUUUCAUCUAAAGCUAAAUAUUGGCGAGAGACCGAUAGCGAACAAGUACCGUGAGGGAAAGAUGAAAAGAACUUUGAAAAGAGAGUUAAACAGUACGUGAAAUUGUCAAAAGGGAAGCGUUUGACACCAGUGUUGUUUUCUCGAAAAUCAAUUAAAAAAGGCAGGAUUUUGUGUUGUAUUGACUUUAUCAGCUUUCUGCACUCUUUUCUUGUCUUUUUUAAUGCACUUUUCGUUUAACAAGUCAGCAUCAAUUUCUUUUGUUGUAAAAGGGUCAUUGGAAGGUGGCUUUCUUUUCGGAGAAAGUGUUUAUAGCCUUUGGCCUCUGCAAUCGGAGAGAUUGAGGUCUGCAGCGUAGAUCCUUCGGGGUUAGAUACAUUUGUGCUAAGUUAUAGCCUUUCAUAGACAACUUGUUGACUAUGAUCAGUCAUGUAGCUUACUCGCUUAUGCUAUUUUACCUACGCUUAGGAUGUUGAAGUCAUCGUAUCGCGC
Molecule: ribosomal RNA, 774 nt
Filed under: uncultured Neocallimastigales
Lineage: Eukaryota; Fungi; Neocallimastigomycota; Neocallimastigomycetes; Neocallimastigales
Description: partial large subunit ribosomal RNA
Rfam family: Eukaryotic large subunit ribosomal RNA
Source: RNAcentral